ACGAACGCUGGCGGCGUGCUUAACACAUGCAAGUCGAACGGAAAGGCCCUGCUUUUGUGGGGUGCUCGAGUGGCGAACGGGUGAGUAACACGUGAGUAACCUGCCCUUGACUUUGGGAUAACUUCAGGUAACUGGGGCUAAUACCGGAUAGGAGCUCCUGCUGCAUGGUGGGGGUUGGAAAGUUUCGGCGGUUGGGGAUGGACUCGCGGCUUAUCAGCUUGUUGGUGGGGUAGUGGCUUACCAAGGCUUUGACGGGUAGCCGGCCUGAGAGGGUGACCGGCCACAUUGGGACUGAGAUACGGCCCAGACUCCUACGGGAGGCAGCAGUGGGGAAUAUUGCACAAUGGGCGGAAGCCUGAUGCAGCAACGCCGCGUGCGGGAUGACGGCCUUCGGGUUGUAAACCGCUUUCGCCUGUGACGAAGCGUGAGUGACGGUAAUGGGUAAAGAAGCACCGGCUAACUACGUG
Molecule: ribosomal RNA, 467 nt
Filed under: uncultured bacterium
Lineage: Bacteria
Description: partial 16S ribosomal RNA
Rfam family: Bacterial small subunit ribosomal RNA
Source: RNAcentral